GCCAGCAGCCAUAUCAUCCUGCAACUCACAACUGGCAACCCACUGAAGCUAAGCAGGUGUGAGCCUGGUCAAUACCUGGAUGGGAGACCUGGGAAAAACUAAGGUUGCUGCUGGAA
RNAcentral lists this ribosomal RNA (116 nucleotides) under Lepisosteus oculatus (spotted gar). Lineage: Eukaryota; Metazoa; Chordata; Actinopteri; Semionotiformes; Lepisosteidae. The record is from RNAcentral.